CAGUCGCCACGGUAAUACGAAGGGUGCAAGCGUUAAUCGGAAUUACUGGGCGUAAAGGGCUCGCAGGCGGUUUCUUAAGUCUGAUGUGAAAGCCCCCGGCUCAACCGGGGAGGGUCAUUGGAAACUGGGAAACUUGAGUGCAGAAGAGGAGAGUGGAAUUCCACGUGUAGCGGUGAAAUGCGUAGAGAUGUGGAGGAACACCAGUGGCGAAGGCGACUCUCUGGUCUGUAACUGACGCUGAGGAGCGAAAGCGUGGGGAGCGAACAGGAUUAGAUACCCGGGUAGUCCCUGUCUCUUAUAA
Molecule: ribosomal RNA, 301 nt
Filed under: uncultured bacterium
Lineage: Bacteria
Description: partial 16S ribosomal RNA
Rfam family: Bacterial small subunit ribosomal RNA
Source: RNAcentral